CCUACGGGUGGCAGCAGUAGGGAAUAUUGCUCAAUGGGGGAAACCCUGAACCAGCCACGCCGCGUGGAGGAUGAAGGUUUUAGGAGUGUAAACCCCUUUUGUGAGAGGAGAUAAUGCCGGUAUCCCUCCCAUAAGCACCGGCUAACUCCGUGACAGCAGCCGCGGUAAUACGGCGGGUGCAAGCGUUACUCGGAAUCACUGGGCGUAAAUGGGGUGCAGGCGGGGCUGUAAGUCAGAUGUGAAAUCCUGGAGCUUAACUACAGAAUUGCAUUUGAAACUAUGAGUCUAGAGUGUGGGAGAGGUAGGCGGAAGUCGUGGUGUAGGGGUAAAAUGCGUAGAUAUCAAGAGGAAUACUGAUUGCGAAGGCGACCUACUGGCACCUUACUGACGCUCAUGCACGAAAGCGUGGGGAGCAAACAGGAUUAGAUACCCCAGUAGUC
Molecule: ribosomal RNA, 440 nt
Filed under: uncultured bacterium
Lineage: Bacteria
Description: partial 16S ribosomal RNA
Rfam family: Bacterial small subunit ribosomal RNA
Source: RNAcentral